GACGAACGCUGGCGGCGUGCCUAAUACAUGCAAGUAGAACGCUGAAGGAGGAGCUUGCUUCUCUGGAUGAGUUGCGAACGGGUGAGUAACGCGUAGGUAACCUGCCUGGUAGCGGGGGAUAACUAUUGGAAACGAUAGCUAAUACCGCAUAAUAUUGACUAUUGCAUGAUAGUCAGUUGAAAGGUGCAACUGCACCACUACCAGAUGGACCUGCGUUGUAUUAGCUAGUUGGUGGGGUAACGGCUCACCAAGGCGACGAUACAUAGCCGACCUGAGAGGGUGAUCGGCCACAAUGGGACUGAGACACGGCCCAGACUCCUACGGGAGGCAGCAGUAGGGAAUCUUCGGCAAUGGACGGAAGUCUGACCGAGCAACGCCGCGUGAGUGAAGAAGGUUUUCGGAUCGUAAAGCUCUGUUGUAAGAGAAGAACGAGUGUGAGAGUGGAAAGCUCACACUGUGACGGUAUCUUACCAGAAAGGGACGGCUAACUUCGUG
This 495-nucleotide ribosomal RNA is filed under the name uncultured bacterium. RNAcentral's name for it is "partial 16S ribosomal RNA". It matches the Rfam family "Bacterial small subunit ribosomal RNA", at positions 28 to 507 of the family's 1533-position model. The record is from RNAcentral.